GACGAACGCUGGCGGCGUGCUUAACACAUGCAAGUCGAACGGAAAGGCCCUGCUUUUGUGGGGUGCUCGAGUGGCGAACGGGUGAGUAACACGUGAGUAACCUGCCCUUGACUUUGGGAUAACUUCAGGAAACUGGGGCUAAUACCGGAUAGGAGCUCCUGCUGCAUGGUGGGGGUUGGAAAGUUUCGGCGGUUGGGGAUGGACUCGCGGCUUAUCAGCUUGUUGGUGGGGUAGUGGCUUACCAAGGCUUUGACGGGUAGCCGGCCUGAGAGGGUGACCGGCCAAAUUGGGACUGAGAUACGGCCCAGACUCCCACGGGGGGCAGGAGGGGGGAAUAUUGCACAAGGGGCGGAAGCCUGAGGCAGCAACGCCGGGGGCGGGAUGACGGCCUUCGGGUUGUAAACCGCUUUCGCCUGUGACGAAGCGGGGGUGACGGUAAUGGGUAAAGAAGCACCGGCUAACUACGU
Molecule: ribosomal RNA, 467 nt
Filed under: uncultured bacterium
Lineage: Bacteria
Description: partial 16S ribosomal RNA
Rfam family: Bacterial small subunit ribosomal RNA
Source: RNAcentral